UCCCCGGUGGCUCAGAUGGUAAAGCGUCUGCCUGCAAUGCAGGAGACCCAGGUUCGAUCCCUGGGUGGGGAA
This 72-nucleotide transfer RNA is filed under the name Bos taurus (domestic cattle). It matches the Rfam family "tRNA". Rfam says of the family: Transfer RNA (tRNA) molecules are approximately 80 nucleotides in length. The record is from Rfam by way of RNAcentral. RNAcentral also lists the same sequence under 5 other names. Lineage: Eukaryota; Metazoa; Chordata; Mammalia; Artiodactyla; Bovidae.